UCAUCCACACAAACAUCUUCUUUAGGC
Molecule: small RNA, 27 nt
Filed under: Bombyx mori (domestic silkworm)
Lineage: Eukaryota; Metazoa; Arthropoda; Insecta; Lepidoptera; Bombycidae
Description: ovarian small RNA-26048
Source: RNAcentral